GGGGUGCAGCAGGCGCGAAAUCUUCACAAUGUGCGAAAGCACGAUGAGGGGAUCCCAAGUGUUGGUUCGUAAGAAUCAUCUGUUUCUUUGUCUAAAAAACAGAGAGAGUAAGAGCUGGGUAAGACGGGUGCCAGCCGCCGCGGUAAUACCUGCAGCUCAAGUGGUGGCCGCUAUUAUUGGGCCUAAAACGUCCGUAGCCGGUUUAGUAAAUGCUUGGGUAAAUUGUGUAGCUCAACUAUACGAAUACCGAGUAGACUGCUGAACUUGGAACCGGGAGAGGCUAGAGGUACUCCUAGGGUAGAGGUGAAAUUCUGUAAUCCUAGGGGGACCACCAGUGGCGAAGGCGUCUAGCUAGAACGGGUCUGACGGUGAGGGACGAAGCCCUGGGGCGCAAACCGGAUUAGAUACCCGGGUAGUCCAGGGUGUAAACGCUGCUCGCUUGAUGUUAGUUGGGCUCCGAGCCCAACUAGUGUCGGAGAGAAGUUGUUAAGCGAGCUGCCUGGGAAGUACGGUCGCAAGGCUGAAACUUAAAGGAAUUGGCGGGGGAGCACAGCAACGGGUGGAGCGUGCGGUUUAAUUGGAUUCAACGCCGGAAAUCUCACCGGAGGCGACGGUUAUAUGAAGGCCAGGCUGAUGACCUUGCCUGAUUUUCCGAGAAGUGGUGCAUGGCCGUCGUCAGUUCGUACCGUGAGGCGUUCUGUUAAGUCAGACAACGAACGAGACCCUCAUCUUUAGU
This 736-nucleotide ribosomal RNA is filed under the name uncultured archaeon. RNAcentral describes it as "bacterial SSU rRNA". It matches the Rfam family "Archaeal small subunit ribosomal RNA", at positions 327 to 1064 of the family's 1478-position model. The record is from RNAcentral.